UACACGCUCCUGUACCCAACUUUCCCUUUUCUCUUCAUGUUCUUCUUUGUUCCCUCUGCUCUUUGUCUUUUUAGAUCCAUGUUCUCCUGGAUUUGAAAUUUGAAAAAGAGGUUUUGAAUUUCAAAUCUCCCUCAAUUCCAUAUUCAUUCAUCUUUCACGCCUCUCCCCUUUUCAUUCUUUCUCUUGUAUAGAACACCAAUUUAAAGAAAUCUACAGAUGUUCCAUUUCAAAACUCUAGAAGACGUUCCAUUGUAAAGUUCAAAUGCACUUGGAUUCUUCGACAUGCGUUCUCUCUCUCACUCUCAAUUUCGAUUUCAGAUUUCAAAGUUAUUUGUGUUGUAAAACCUGCUGUUCACCCAACUUAUGAUUUGAAGAAUUGAAUGUUUACAUGCAUCCAUUUCUGAAGAUACUGGAGACAAGGUGCUAAAACUAAACACGGCUUUUGGAUCCUUGCCUCUCAACCCUAAUUUCAGUUUAUCUCCGUCUCAACCAUCACUAUAUCUUUCUUCUUGCCUUCCCCAUCGAUGUAAACAUAGAAGUUCAUAUCUUCGGGUGUUAGUUUAUUUGAAUAGAUUAUAACUUUAGUUUGAAUCGAUUGAUCAGAUCACUUCGUCACUCACACAGGUACGUUUCAUUCAUCCUGUUUGCCCUAAUUUUGUCACUGUGUUAACCAUAUCUGAUUCGUCCUGUUGUUGUUACUGAAUCUGUAACGUUCGUUGAUGUUUAUUCAAUUGUUGUUCGUUUGUUCAUAUCUGUAAUCGAUUUGGAUCGAGUGAGUGUAGUGAUUGUAUUGUUCGAUGUUAUAUAUACUUCUUUUUUAUCUACAUUGAUUAUUAAAAUUUUGUCUUUGUGGUUUUAGAUUUAGAGGAUUAUGGUUUAGUGAGAUUUUAACUGCAUUGAUUAUUUAAUCACGGUGUCCAAUAACGAAAGUUCAAUUCGGCAUGUCAGUGCCCAGUGAUUCGAUCACAAAAAGCCUAAACACGACCAGGUAUCGUUACAGAUUAAUUAUACAGUUUUAGUUGUUCUAAUUUAUUCAGAUGAUCAUGUGGUGAAGGGCAUGUUAAACAUGUAGAAGAUUACAGUUUAUGAAGAGGCUGACUUAGCUACAAGAUCAAGAAUAUUGAACAUCGGAAGCAAAUGGAAGCGUCAAAGAUUCACUUGACCGCAUUCAUAAACACAAGGUAUGAUAUGUACUGUGGAUGAACAAUCUGGCGUCAUUUGUAGAUUUGCAUAAAAGUUGUUGUCUCAACUGGAUGGAUCUAUAGAGGAUAAAGAUUGGAAUCGAAACGGGUCAUUUUAUACUCAUAAAUACUUCACGCGUAAAAUGUGGUUAUCACAGUAAUAAAAUAUAGUAAUUAUAUUUAGGAGGAUACACACAUUAAAAAUAGGCCUUACAUAACUCUAGACCCGUUUACCCCAUUUGAUUCAUUAUUCUUUAUGUAUAUAAUAGUUUUUGUUUAACCUGUUUGAUAUAAAAACACUAUAUGAUAAAUUGUCUAUGCAGUUAGGCAUAGAUGAGGUAAUGGAGAAUUGCAAGGAAUACAGAGUCAAAGUCAUUCGUUGACAAUCAUUCUUUAUUGUAGGGGUGUUCACGGUUCAGUUUAAAGCCGUGAAACCGUCCAAAUCGGUCACCGGUUUGGUUUGGUUUCGCAAUCGGUAUUUUCUCUUAGUUUUCGGUCGGUCGAUUUCCGAUCUUUCAAACCGGUUUGGUUUACGGUUUAUACCAAAAACCAACCAAAUGUAUAAAACCGAACCAAACCGCAUGUUUGAAAAACAUUUCAAAUUUUAAAUUGUAUAUACACACACUGACCAAAACAUUUCAGUUUAUUUGGUCGCAUUCAAAUUCAUAGUAGACCAGUUUUUUAACAAUCUGGACAUGCAUGUGAGGAUUUUAUUUCUUUAGAUAAUCUGGACCUUCGUUUGACAUUCUGCACUCAAAUUGUGCAAUGACAUUCAAAUUUUACAACCUUUUUUAUUUUAUAUAAUUUUACAACCUUUUUUAUUGUGUGUAGUAGGUUCUUUUAUUAUAUAUAUUAUUCGUUUUAAAACAGUGAAAACAUGUUGUAAAAGUUCUAUUUUGAUUGUGCCGAUGGCGGAGAAAAACGCCGCGUGACCCAAACGGCUGUCUGAUGCUCUAUUAUUGAUGUUUGCACCAUGUUGAUGGCUAAGAGUAGUGAUUUCAGGCGUUGGUAGUGGUCGCCGGUGGAGGUGACACUCCCUAGCCUCCGGUCAAUGAUGAAUGACGUUGAUAACAAGUUAAGUGCUGCAACUCGGGGCUGUUGUGGAGCAUAUUUGUGGACCAAUUUACACAAUCAAAGCACAUGAUGAUGCAGAUUCACUCCAAAUAAGAGCUAUUAGGAUACGGACACAAAGGAACUAGGCCAUCUGUUUAUGACAGACUUAUGAAAGGUCCAAUAUCCUCAAAUGGUUAUGAACUUCACUUGCCCCACCACAAUGAAAGAGCUUUGUAUUGUGCUUCUAUGGAGUAAAGGGAGUUACUAGAAGAGCUUGCAGAUUAGUAGGAAAUCCGACUCGACGAUUUUCAUUUUUUGCGAGUGUAGCUGGGUUGAUAAGUAAAAUCGAUCAAGUAGAUGGAUAUGUAUGUUUCAUUUAUUUGGUCUCUUUUAACGGUACUUUAUACAUGUAAUUUUAGAAGUUGUGAUAACUUCAAUUUCCACCGUUUGACAGUUAGUACUCAUAAUCCGUUAGUACAAGUUGGAUGAUCCAAAUCAAAAGGUCCGAUCCAUAUUCAUUCGGAUCUGUGUCCAUCUGAAAUUAAAUAGGUGUUUUGUAUUAUUGCCA
This is a long non-coding RNA of Helianthus annuus (common sunflower), 2802 nucleotides long. RefSeq lists it as uncharacterized. The transcript has 5 exons. The record is from RefSeq and is a predicted model, not a curated record. Lineage: Eukaryota; Viridiplantae; Streptophyta; Magnoliopsida; Asterales; Asteraceae.